Molecule: ribosomal RNA, 301 nt
Filed under: uncultured bacterium
Lineage: Bacteria
Description: partial 16S ribosomal RNA
Rfam family: Bacterial small subunit ribosomal RNA
Source: RNAcentral
CAGUCGCCACGGUAAUACGAAGGGGGCCAGCGUUGUUCGGAAUCACUGGGCGUAAAGCGCACGUAGGCGGAUACUUAAGUCAGGGGUGAAAUCCCGGGGCUCAACCUCGGGACUGCCUUUGAUACUGGGUAUCUUGAGUCCGGGAGAGGUUGGUGGAACUCCGAGUGUAGAGGUGAAAUUCGUAGAUAUUCGGAAGAACACCAGUGGCGAAGGCGGCCAACUGGCCCGGUACUGACGCUGAGGUGCGAAAGCGUGGGGAGCAAACAGGAUUAGAUACCCGUGUAGUCCCUGUCUCUUAUAU